This 2568-nucleotide long non-coding RNA is filed under the name Lathyrus oleraceus (garden pea). RNAcentral describes it as "Pisum sativum (pea) long non-coding RNA (PSAT_LNC008970)". Lineage: Eukaryota; Viridiplantae; Streptophyta; Magnoliopsida; Fabales; Fabaceae. The record is from RNAcentral.
AUUCCAAACAUAACCAACAAAAAAAAUCAUAUAUCAAACAAUAGAAGCUAGAUUACAAGUAACAAAUAAAUGUGAGGUUGAUUCAAGUCAAUCCUCACAAAGGAUACAAGAGAUACCCUUUGGGUCAAUAAUGAGCUUCUGCUUAAGAAGGUUUUUCCAAGUCAGGAAUCUGAUUUGCUGACGCUACCAAGAAAUGACCACAACCUUUGAGAGAGUCCAAUUAUCCCAAAUAAGGGGAAAUUUGGUUUAUCUCUAGAUAAAAGGGCCUCAUGUAAAGAACAAAGGCAAACUUGAAUUUGAUAAGUAAAUGCCACGAAGAAUAAAUCAUAUAUAGUAUGUCUCUAAGCAUAUCUAUCACUUUCCUCUCUAAACUAAAAAUCUUGUAAACCCAAGAAGAAAUCAAAGACCUUAAAUUCUUUAUGGAUGAAGAACAAUCUCCUCCAACAAAGGUCAAUUCUUCCCAACUUCCAAUCACACCCACAGAAACUUAUUGCCUUUGAAAAAUGGUGAAUAGUUUUUGAUAUCUAGUCCUAUGAGGUAUACUCCUUAUACAAGGGUCUUCCUAAAAAGAUGACUGAAGGCAUGUCCCAACCUUCUUAAUAAAACCUACCUUAAACAAGUUAGGAGGGUCUUUAGUUUUAUAUCUAAGAAGAGACAAAUUUUCCAUAAAGAGGAGGCAGAGCAAGACACCAAGAAUCGAUCCCUGCACAAAGAGGUGACGAUGAGGUGCAUAUACUUGGUAGAAUGGAUAUUAAAACAAAGACCAGAUGCAUCUGAUAAAAGUCUCGACCUCCAUUUAGCCAAGAGAGCUAGAUUAACCAUUCAGAUAUCUCUAACACCUAAGCCUCGGUUUCUCUUAAAUUAACACGCAUGAGACCAUCUCGCCCAUGAAAUCUUAGAAUCCUCUUUCAUACCUCCUUAAAUGAAACUCCUAAUAAUCCUAAUUCGCUUAUUCAACACUUUCACAAAUAUUAUAAAAAUAUAAAAAUUGCUCUGAUAUUAUUUUGAUUUUUAUUUUAAUUCGUCAACUAAUAUUUCAUUAUUAAAAACAUUACUUGACUCAGGUACAAGUACUAUAUGUACUCUGUUGUGAGAUUUUAUUUAUAAUUUAGCACAUUACAAAUGUAUAAAAAAAACACAUGUUACUGGAUUUAAAAAUUAAAUACUUGUUUAGAUUUUUCAUGGGAUGUUCAUUACCUAUUAUUGAGGCCAAAUUAGAACCGAAUGCAAGACAUAUAUGGCCACAUUCAUACAUAUAUUGUAAUAACUUUGUUUCAAUAUUAACUUGCAAAUGAUCCAUGUGACAUCUAUAGACCAUGUCGGGAAUAACUUACAUAACUAAAACCAAGGGAGAGAGAUGAGCUCUAACUUCUCUCUAGAAUUCAAAAACCCUAACAACAAAAAAUCCAAAACAUUAACAUUUUAUUACCUAAAUCAUUUUCAUUCUCUCUUCACUUUCUAAAAACCCUAGAGAUUCCCCAUCAUGGAAUGGAAGAAGGUCACUCGAAGAGAAAAAAAGGGAAAGAAGGAUAUCAGGAUAUCAGGAUGAAACCACUUAGUAUAGAAGGUGAAGAGAAGAUUAUCUGCUUGAGAGAGUUACUAAUUUUCAUUUUCAUUAUACUUUUAUAAUACAUAAUUGUUGGUUGUUUUUUCUAUUGGGACUUAGGUCCUCCACUUCUAAAAAAAAUGUCACAAAUAUCAUCACAUAUUUUAAUUAAAACCAAUAUUUUUACUAUUAUGCAACAUAAAAUUUUGUUCCAAUUUGUUUUUUUUUCUUUAGCGAGUCCAAAGUAAACAAGUUAAAAUUUGCACAGUUAUUGCAUAAAAUUAUAGGUGUGGAAAUAACAUAAAAACUAUUUCAAACUAAAUAUUAAAAAAUAAAAUAGGAAAGAAAAUCUGAUAUCAUAGAGGUGAAGAGUCACAAAGAUAUCUCCGAAAUUAAGAGAGAAGAAGAUAAUUUACAUUAUAUUAUAUGUUUUUAUUUUUGGUAUAUAUUUUUUUCAUUAACAUCACUUUAGAGUAGAUCCAUAAUAACAAGGCCAGUGAAAUUAUAAAAAAAAUAAGAAAACUAAAGUAUUACGUCUCAACAAGACAAUUAAAUAACAACUCAUGAAAUAUUCAAGAAUGUGUUUUGUACUCUUUUGGGUUUGAUACUCAAAAACAUACACAGAAGCCAUAAUAACACUUUGGUUUUUUACCACGAUUGCACAUAUUUUUGCGACAAUCAGCAACGGUAACACAUUCAUUACCCCACGCUAUAAUGAAAAAAGAAAAAGAAAAGGUUAUUAAAAUAUGAAAAAGUAUUAUCUAUAGAAUAAAGAGGAAAAAGGAUAAAAAUUACUUACCAUUAACACUCGAGAUAACAAGAAGAAAAGAAAGAAAGAUUAACAUAAUAUAAACAAAGUUAAUUAAUUUUGCCAUACUUUCCACCCUCUGCUUUUAUCGAAUAGGAUAUGUUUUAUCAAAUUUGGAUUUAUAAAUCUAAUAUUCUUCUUACAGCAAUUUAAUAAUUUUUAUUAUUAAUAGAUUUUAUUAUACAUAUAACGUAUCGAGUUCUUAAGGAACUUU